RNAcentral lists this small RNA (2337 nucleotides) under Pan troglodytes (chimpanzee). Its description in RNAcentral is "retained intron". The record is from RNAcentral. Lineage: Eukaryota; Metazoa; Chordata; Mammalia; Primates; Hominidae.
ACAACUAAGUAUUAAAAACAGUUCAUCUGUGCCAGCUUCUACUCUGAAUGAGGAAAUAGCCCCAGAAAGAUGGAGUGACUUAGGAGUCCCACAGGUAGGUCGUAACAAAGUGGGGACUAAGUCAGAAUCCCUGCAUGCCUAUGCCCUCUACCCCCAUGUCACUUUAACAAAGGAUGUUGGAGCAGACAGACAUCUCCAUUUUAUAAUGAGGAAACAGAGGCAAAAUGGCUCCAGGGGUGCCAAGUUGGAGCCAGGCUGGAAAUCUCUGGAAGCCGGUCCUGUGGACCUCCCUCAUCCCAGCCCCACCCUCUUUCACACUCCCUCUCCUCACAGGGGACCAUGCAAGGGAGAAGUGAGGGAGACAGGCCUCGAGUUGUGGGCACACCUGCCACAGCCAUGGCCGCGUCCUGUGUCGCAUGAAUAGGGAUUCUUGCACAUCUCUGACGGAAUCACGUGGCUUUUUGAGGCCACUGGGGCAGCCUGCAAAGGUGGCUGCUGGGAUGGCUACCUCCCUCCAACCUCAGGGCCCUGGUUGAAGGAAGGGGCUCAUGGAGCCUGGGGGAGAAGGGAUAGACAUCCAGCCAGGGGCAGAUGGGAAGUGAACUUCCCUGAGGGGGUUUGGCGAAGGGGCAGCCCCCACCCAGCUCUCAGCGCAAUCACAGAUUUUCUUUGGGCUGCACAGAACCUGUCUGUCCUGAAGCAAGUGCGAGAGGAGAUGCAGCUGACCUGGGCCCAGAACGCCAUCACUUCUGGCUUUAACGGUGAGUCCUCACCCCUGUGAGCUGCCCCACAGUGGCCUCUUAGAGGUAUGGCCCUCGCACACAGGGGCCUGGGUAUCUGAACCAGCCUCCCAGGCUGCUUUGGGCCUGACAGUUGCAUGGAUGAGGGCAGGACUGGGGAGGCAAUGGGCUGGGUGGGCAUCCAGACCUUAGCUCCAGCACUUCUGGGAACCUUGGUCCCUGAGUCCACAGCCCUUCAUAGCUGGAUGGCCCAACUUCAGCUUCACUGCCUACUCCAGCUGGGAAACCAAGGCCAGCACAGCGCCAGCCAUCAGAGUGAGAGCUGUCACCGUGGCCAGUGGCAGGGCUUGUCCACUCUAGUGGGGAAAUGGUGAUUGUCUGUGCGGAGCCUCAGGAAACAGAAGCUCAUCCCUAACAGCUCUCUCGAGACCUGGCUGCCACAUUCUCACCAGCAGCCAUGCCCAGUCUGUCACUCAGUUGGGCGCCCAUUUCAUAACUAUGGAGGCCAAGGCCCAGAAAGCUUUGUGUCCCCUCCCUGCGCCCAGAAUAAGAUGUUUAUGUGGCCUCCCCACAGCCCUGGAGCAGAUCCUACAGAGCACAGCGGGCAUAUACUGUGUAGGAGACGAGGUAAGCUGUCCCCAGACCUCCCCAGGCCCAGCCACAGUGGCUGCCUCCCUCAUGCUGACCUCCCUCAAGCUCAGAGCUUCCUGAGAAGGCGUCUGCAGGGGCAUCUCUGUGCCAUGGGACACUCCUCAGCUCACUCCCACUAAACCAUCUCAAGAGGGAGUUACUCAAGGUAGAAGACUGGCUGUGAGAGGAUGAGGCGGGCCAGCAUCAGUUGAGGGAUUGUGCUAGAUGAUGUCUGAGCAGUCAAGGCAAUCCAUCUUCUCUGGCCCUCUCAACCCACAGAGUUGGUUGUCAGGGCAACUGGAGCAUGGCCUGGGAGGGCACUUCAGCUCCGGGGGACAGACUUAUGCAGGCCUAGGGCAGACAAGAAUUGGGGGUGGGAUGGGUGAAAGAGCCGAAGCAGAUUGUUGGUACCCCCAGUAGAGUCGCAGUGGACACACCCAGUCCAGCCACUGAGUCUGGGGUAUGCACCCUGAUGGGAACCCACCGAACCCUCUUUCAGGUGACCAUGGCUGAUCUGUGCUUGGUGCCUCAGGUGGCAAAUGCUGAAAGAUUCAAGGUGGAUCUCACCCCCUACCCUACCAUCAGCUCCAUCAACAAGAGGCUGCUGGUCUUGGAGGCCUUCCAGGUGUCUCACCCCUGCCGGCAGCCAGAUACACCCACUGAGCUGAGGGCCUAGCUCCCAAAUCCUGCCCCGUUGGCACAGGGCCACAGGAGCAGAAGCUGGGUGGGCUGAAGAGGCCUGGAAAUGAGAGUCUUAAUUGAGGAGAUGGGAGACUCGAACUCUAGCCCUGGAUCUGCCUUCCUGCUGAAACUUGUUCCACCUCAGUCCCCUCAUCUGUCACACGCAUGUGGGGUGGAGUAGGGAGAUGCGGGGAGCAGGGUGGGCAGGAAUAUUGUUAUCUAUGUGACGGGGCAGUCGUGAGGCUGAGAUGAGAAUGUGGAUUAAAAUGCCUGGCGUGCUCACCGU